AACGAACGCUGGCGGCAUGCCUAACACAUGCAAGUCGAACUAGACCUUCGGGUCUAGUGGCGCACGGGUGCGUAACGCGUGGGAACCUGCCCUUAGGUUCGGAAUAACUCCCCGAAAGGGGUGCUAAUACCGGAUAAUGUCAUCGGACCAAAGAUUUCUCGCCUUUGGAUGGGCCCGCGUUGGAUUAGCCAGUUGGUAGGGUAAAAGCCUACCAAGGAGACGAUCCAUAGCUGGUCUGAGAGGAUGAUCAGCCACGCUGGGACUAAGACACGGCCCAGACUCCUACGGGAGGCAGCAGUGGGGAAUAUUGGACAAUGGGCGAAAGCCUGACCCAGCAAUGCCGCGUGAGUGAUGAAGGCGUUAGGGUUGUAAAGCUCUUUUACCCGGGAUGAUAAUGACGGUACCGGGAGAAUAAGCUCCGGCUAACUCCGUG
Molecule: ribosomal RNA, 433 nt
Filed under: uncultured bacterium
Lineage: Bacteria
Description: partial 16S ribosomal RNA
Rfam family: Bacterial small subunit ribosomal RNA
Source: RNAcentral